This 490-nucleotide ribosomal RNA is filed under the name uncultured bacterium. Its description in RNAcentral is "partial 16S ribosomal RNA". It matches the Rfam family "Bacterial small subunit ribosomal RNA", at positions 29 to 507 of the family's 1533-position model. The record is from RNAcentral.
AUUGAACGCUGGCGGCAUGCCUUACACAUGCAAGUCGAACGGCAUCGCGGGAGAGCUUGCUUUCCUGGCGGCGAGUGGCGAACGGGUGAGUAACACAUCGGAACGUACCGGCUAGUGGGGGAUAACCCGUCGAAAGACGGGCUAAUACCGCAUACGCUCUUCGGAGGAAAGCAGGGGACCUUUGGGCCUUGCGCUAGUCGAGCGGCCGAUGUCCGAUUAGCUAGUUGGUGGGGUAAAGGCCUACCAAGGCGACGAUCGGUAGCGGGUCUGAGAGGACGAUCCGCCACACUGGGACUGAGACACGGCCCAGACUCCUACGGGAGGCAGCAGUGGGGAAUCUUGGACAAUGGGGGCAACCCUGAUCCAGCAAUGCCGCGUGGGUGAAGAAGGCCUUCGGGUUGUAAAGCCCUUUCGGCAGGGAAGAAAUCGGCGGGGCGAAUAACCCUGCUGGAUGACGGUACCUGCAGAAGAAGCACCGGCUAACUACGUG